Molecule: long non-coding RNA, 1342 nt
Filed under: Homo sapiens (human)
Lineage: Eukaryota; Metazoa; Chordata; Mammalia; Primates; Hominidae
Description: MIR4435-2 host gene
Source: RNAcentral
UUUUUUUUUUUCCUUCUUAGUCGUGUGUACAUCAUUGGGAAUGGAGGGAAAUAAAUGACUGGAUGGUCGCUGCUUUUUAAGUUUCAAAUUGACAUUCCAGACAAGCGGUGCCUGAGCCCGUGCCUGUCUUCAGAUCUUCACAGCACAGUUCCUGGGAAGGUGGAGCCACCAGCCUCUCCCUGGCUCUGCCGACUUCCAGUUCUGGAACAAGAUGGUUAAACUCAUUUUUCCCUGCUCUGCUCCUCUAAAUACAACUAAGUACCUUGGAAACUAUUCAGCAGACAAUGAUAAAGGGCUCUGAAAGCUAGAAGAAAAGGUGUACUUGCAAGAAACCUCAGGACUUGAGUAACAGCAACAUGGCAGGCCAGAAAGCAGACCCAGGGAGGAUAGCACAUGUCUUCGGCUACACUGGUGAAGGCAUCGUGCCUGCUCCACAGCACAUUUUUAUUCAAGGAAAGGAGAAAGAGACUACCUACUGCAUUUCUGUCACUCGCUGAAAAGGACACUCUGUCAGAAAAUCUUCUAGCAAACUUCAAAGGGCAAAAUCACCCCUUGUUACUGAUAAAGCCCAGAGAGCUUCAGCAGCUAACAUUCCCUGGACAGGGCACAGCAAGGAUUUGAACCUAGGUCAGUCUGGCCAGAACACCCACAAGCUUUCCUUAACUCAGUGUGCUAUCUCCCCACGACUAGGUCACUACUGCUUUAUAAUCACCUUUGUAGCCACCAGUGGAUUUUGCUCAUCAGUAUUUUUCAGGCAAUUGAUACUUUAGAUAUUCAGCUGCAAGACGUAUGCAGUUUUCAUUGACAUCUUUUGGAGAAACUGACAAACCUGGACUUGACUUAAUGCCUUUGGAACCUUCCAAGAUGUUAUAUAACUCUAGAUAGAAGGCUGGGCCUCCAUGAUGUCAGGAAUGUUGCAUUCUUAUUUCCCCAUAGAUAAACCCAUUUGUCCACAAAGUCAAGGAGUCAGGCAGAGGCCCUUGCCAUGGGGCUUUUUAGGAUAAAGCAACAAGCCUGGACUUUGCUCUACAACAGGGUUUUGCAUAGGGAGUGGUAUGACCAGAUCCCUCAAGAAAGAAAGCUUAGAGACCAGGCCAGAGUCCACUGCAGUAGCCCAGUCAAGAGAGGAUGGUGACUUGGACUUGUAGUAGAGCCAGUUAGAAUGAAAGAAAUUGACACAUUCAGAAAUGGUUUUAGAGAUAGAGUCAAACUGGACCUGAUAAAGAACUAGAGAAGCGGAGUGAGGAUAAAGAGAAGAGCCAUGACUGACUCGGAAGAUUUUGUCUUGAAAAACUUGAGAACUCAAGACAGAGUGAAAUAAAAUCACAUGUGGGAAAAAUCU